GCGCAUUUAGCUCAGUGGCCAGAGCGUUGGUUUUCGGUUAGUUCGCCGACACCGCCAAGGGUCGCAGGUUCGACCCCUGUAAUGCGCU
This 88-nucleotide transfer RNA is filed under the name Trichosporon asahii var. asahii CBS 2479. Its description in RNAcentral is "tRNA-Arg". It matches the Rfam family "tRNA". Rfam says of the family: Transfer RNA (tRNA) molecules are approximately 80 nucleotides in length. The record is from RNAcentral. RNAcentral also lists the same sequence under 1 other name. Lineage: Eukaryota; Fungi; Basidiomycota; Tremellomycetes; Trichosporonales; Trichosporonaceae.